UGGGCCCCGGGCCGGCCACCCGGAGUCCCGCGCUCCUUUCGGGAUCGUUUUGUGGUGAAUCAAGAAAACAUGUGUGUGCAGGGGCCUGUCCAGCCCCGCCGCGGCCAGGCCAUGAGUCCACCUGCUGCCCCCUGCCAUCGGUCGUUUGCUGCCCCGGGGACGCUGGCCUCUGAGAACUAGGCUCCCGACCUUUGUUUUUAGAUGAACCUGGAAUACAUGCUGAGAGAAGAAAGCUGGUCCCAAUGAUUGUACAUGAUUCUGUUGAUGUCCAGAUCUCUUCAGACUCACAGGGGAGGAACUGGAACUCAGAGGAGAUUCAAGACAGUGCACGCCAAGCCUGCCUUCACCUCUGGCCGGUCUCAACCUGAAAGAAACUCACUGCCAUCUCCCAUCAGCCUCCAUUUUACUGAAUGGGUCGGAAAGUAGGGGCAGGAAGGACUGGUGUCUGAGAUGACAGCACAGGGACAACAGAAGUCAUGUGAGUGAGAGUGUGAUGCAAAUGCUGUUGUCAUAUGCUUCCUGUAGGUGACCAUGGACAAGACCAGGCUCCUUAGGAAUGUCCUGGGAUAAACAAUCAAAGCAGUACAGACACUGAAGUAUCUUCUUACUAUUAAAAAAAUGCAUUCUUCCUAA
Long non-coding RNA from Otolemur garnettii (small-eared galago), 633 nucleotides. RefSeq lists it as uncharacterized. The transcript has 3 exons. NCBI's taxonomy places the organism in Eukaryota, Metazoa, Chordata, Mammalia, Primates, Galagidae. The record is from RefSeq and is a predicted model, not a curated record.